UACGUAGGGUGCGAGCGUUGUCCGGAAUUAUUGGGCGUAAAGAGCUCGUAGGCGGUCUGUCGCGUCGAUCGUGAAAACUUGGGGCUUAACCCUGAGCUUGCGGUCGAUACGGGCAUGACUGGAGUUCGGCAGGGGAGACUGGAAUUCCUGGUGUAGCGGUGAAAUGCGCAGAUAUCAGGAAGAACACCCGUGGCGAAGGCGGUUCUCUGGAACGCAACUGACGCUGAGACGCGAAAGCGUGGGGAGCAAACAGG
RNAcentral lists this ribosomal RNA (254 nucleotides) under uncultured bacterium. RNAcentral's name for it is "partial 16S ribosomal RNA". It matches the Rfam family "Bacterial small subunit ribosomal RNA", at positions 524 to 776 of the family's 1533-position model. The record is from RNAcentral.